Molecule: transfer-messenger RNA, 326 nt
Filed under: Chrysochromulina tobinii
Lineage: Eukaryota; Haptophyta; Prymnesiales; Chrysochromulinaceae
Description: Chrysochromulina sp. CCMP291 transfer-messenger RNA
Rfam family: transfer-messenger RNA
About the family: Bacterial tmRNA, also known as 10Sa RNA or SsrA, is named for its dual tRNA and mRNA-like properties. Its role is to liberate the mRNA from a stalled ribosome.
Source: Rfam by way of RNAcentral
GGGGCUGUUUCGGAUUCGACAUUUAGACUUCUUUCUAUAUGUUCAAAUAGUUUAUAAAACUGUAUACCAAAAUAAGUGCAAACAACAUCUUAUCUUUUAUUACAAGAACUAACAAAAACCAGUUAGCACUGGCUUAGUUUCUUGAUUUGUCAGCAAAUACAAUUUUCGGUAUUUGCUGAACUUUUUUAAUAAUCAGCGUUUAAAUAAAGAAGAAGCACAUAUAACAUUAUAUGUAGAGACUAAAUCGUAAUGGUUAUUCUAAAAAGAGAUACCCAAUAGUUUAGAGAUCUAAAUGGACGUGGGUUCAAGUCCCACCAGCUCCAACG